UCUGACACAGGUGCUGCAUGGCUGUCGUCAGCUCGUGUCGUGAGAUGUUGGGUUAAGUCCGUACGAGCGCAACCCUUGUCCUUAGUUACCAGCACGUUAUGGUGGGCACUCUAAGGAGACUGCCGGUGACAAACCGGAGGAAGGUGGGGAUGACGUCAAGUCAUCAUGGCCCCUACGGCCUGGGCUACACACGUGCUACAAUGGUCGGUACAAAGGGUUGCCAAGCCGCGAGGUGGAGCUAAUCCCAUAAAACCGAUCGUAGUCCGGAUCGCAGUCUGCAACUCGACUGCGUGAAGUCGGAAUCGCUAGUAAUCGUGAAUCAGAAUGUCACGGUGAAUACGUUCCCGGGCCUU
Molecule: ribosomal RNA, 353 nt
Filed under: uncultured Pseudomonas sp.
Lineage: Bacteria; Pseudomonadati; Pseudomonadota; Gammaproteobacteria; Pseudomonadales; Pseudomonadaceae
Description: bacterial SSU rRNA
Rfam family: Bacterial small subunit ribosomal RNA
Source: RNAcentral